CCAUAUUCACAGCCGCUCACAAAAAACCAGCAGCAGCUGCUCCUCUGUCAAAAUGAGUAUAUGAAAUCUCAUGAUUUCACCCCUAAAACAACAUCAUUAUGCCAAAUGCCGAUACACACUUUGUUCUUUGUAAUGCUCCGAUUGUCAUUCAUUUGGGCGAUAAAGAUAAGCAAUCAGUUCGUUGUUGCUUUUUGACAAAUUAGCGAAAUCUUCGAUCGUGAUUUCCCUGUUUAAAUAGCUCCUCCUAUAUACUCUAUACUCUACUUCCAUGAAAAGGUAUUAUUCGUACUUAUUAUUUUUCAAUUCUGCUUAUUUUGUUUAAUUGUUUAAUAUAUCUAGACUCGGCAAAUGGGCGGGCUGGUAUGGACGUGUUGUUGUAGGUCGGCGAUCAUAAACGAAAAUGGGUAGAUGGGCAAACCAAUAUAUCAAAUUUGAGUUUAAGUAUAAAUUAAUAAAUUAAUGUUUAUAUAAAUUCCUGUAAAAUUUUAGUAAAAAAUUUUUCCUCUUGAAUUUGAUGUUAAAGUUAAUUUUGCCUAUGUUGUUCAAACUUCUUUUCUGUUUACUUUUCCUUCUUAAUUAAAUCCUUUACAUUUACAAAAAGAGAUAUUCCUAGGGCAGCAGCUCAUUUAUAUGCUUAAACAUUAGUCAGUACUCUAUUUUUAAUUUUAGACUAAAAGACAAUUUGCACCCCAAACUUUACACAAUUGUUGAUUUUGCACCCUAAACUGAAAAAGGUGUCUAAGUACACACCAAACUUUAGUUAUACAUAACAAAAUGCACACUUUAUUCAAUUAGCAGUUUAAAAGUGACCGACUAAGCCUGUAAUGCUUAUUACAUAGGGGUAAUUUUGAUAGUUUACAUUACAUGCACUUUUUCCGUGCCUCUUUCUUCAUCGUCUCUCCCUCUUUGACUCUAUUCCACUCACCAUUAUUUUGGUAACCCCUCUCCCAUUCUCUCUCUCAAGUGGUCACCUUUCACUCCAUCUACAAAUCGUUUAUUCCCACAAUUGCCUGCCCUGAACCGAAAUCAGGGUCAGCUUCUUGAUGGUGCCAUACCAGAGCACUUUCCUUCUGCUCUAUGGACGAGCCAUCAGUGGCCUCUGUAUAGUGCACCAUUACAGGUAGUGCCAUCUUUUUCCACUCAAAAUCCACCGCAGACACACUGGACUCCCAUGGGGAAUCCCCAGUCUACCUAAUAACAACAGAAACAAUUAGAUAGAAGAAUGACCAAUAUAAAGAGAACAUAAAACACCACAAUAGAACAAGGCAAUGCUUUUCUAUGUUUCCAAUAACAAGAACAGACAAUGUUACCUAGUAAAGUAACCAUGAUAGACCAAGCUUCCCUCAGGGAGAAAACCACUUGCUUAAAGAUUCCUUUCCUCUGCCACACACAAUAAACACCACAUUUUGUGAAUCACUGCAUAAACCAUUUAGUACCGAGAUAACUUCACUGCUUGGAGUUUUGUCCACUGAACCCUGUGGCAUCACUGUACCAUCAUAAUCCAAAAGAAUAAGACGGCUAUUAGUCUUAUUAUAAGCUGAAACAAUGUGUCCCACGGACAGUUUCCUGAAAUUAGGACCCAAAGCAACAACUCUGAAACCCAAACCAAACCCAAUUCCCCAACACCUCUUGAUGUAAUGCUCUCUACAAGCUCUCUCAAGGUCUUGAUCGAAACUCCUAGCUCAGUCAGCAACAUCAUGAGAACUAACAUACUUGUAAUGCUUCUCAUGGCGCAGUUGUUUCUCAGACUCUGGCAUUGUAACAGCCAAAGUCAUUGUCUCAGAGACACUAUCGAUAUUCCAGGGAUUAACCCGGAUUGCACCACUGAGGGAUGGAGAGCAACCAAUGAAUUCUGAGACAAUAAUCACACUCUUCCUCGAAAAUUCAUGUCCAUCAAGUCCCAAAGGCCUUAUCUAAUUCUGGGCUACCCUGCCUCGACACAAUGUACUUGUAGGGGACCAAAUUCAUCCCAUCCCUCACAUCAUUCACCACAACACACUCAGAAGUAAGCACCCUUGUCUUGAGUUGAAAAGGACCAUUGACAAAAACAAUAGGCUCAUAACCAGAAUAGCCAUACUUCUGAUUAACCUCACUGGCAACUUUAUUCGUCUCAUUUUGAACCUCUUGAAUAUCCUGACCCUGGCUUCUCGCUGGGUUCACAAUCUGUACCAAAACCACCCUUCCCCUCAAUUCAGGGUGCUCUUUCAAAAGCUGGCGCAUAGCUAAAAACUUCAACUAAUACCCUUGAACAUAUCCAUAUCAUCAACACCCAACAUCAUAAUUUUCCCUUCAUUCUUUUCCUUCAAUUCUUGUACCUUCUUCCCAGUAUCAGGCAAUGAUUUGACCGAUUCAAUUUGAUCCAUAUGAAUACCAAAAGGUAGAAUCUUGAUACUCACAGUUCUACCAUAAUACUCGAGUCCAAUGUAACCCCUUUUGGAUCGGAAAUCCAAACCCAACAAUCUACGACAAUAUGACAAGAUGUCUUGCAUAAUCAAAUGUAUGGAACCUAAUAAGAUCACAAUUCAACAGAGCCCGAAGAAUCUCGUCUCGCACGGGCAACGUUCGAUAAAUUUUCAAGGAGGGAAAUAGACUAUGCAAGAAAAACCCAAGUCUAACUCUAUGAUAUCUUUUUUCUCAAGAAAGUUGGCAAUACCAUGAGGUGAUAAUCAUGUACCCAAACAUAAUCCUCAUCUGGGUUGAUAACCUCCAUUAUUUUAUCGGCGAAGAUCUUAUUCACCGAUACAUAAGCCUGCCACAUAGACCGCUCAAACCGGACCCCGUGAUGUGAAGUCAGAGGCAACAUGUAAUGAAACAGAGGCCACAAAUAAUGCUUACAAAACCCAUGAUAAAAUUUGUUCUGUAUAUCUGAUGGAAGAAAAGUAGGCACACAAUGAAACUUAUCUAGCAAGAAUUGGCCCACUUCUUCUUGCUCUUCGGGGUCGAUCUCCACCGCUAAUGAUCCGACAAAUAUAACUUCAAUGUCCGAGACGAACCCAUCUUUGAGCUGCAAAACCACAACAUCUUUAUCCCAAUCAUAACACCAUUUCUUGGUUUCAGUAUCGCGGUGAGCUUUUACCGGCAACUGGUUGGCGACAAUGAUUCUUCGUUCUUGCCUGACUGAUGAAACGACAUCGGACUUAUCAUCAGUCAUAUGAUUAUCACCAUUGUUGUUCUUGGAGAAAUUCUCAUCAUAGGCUUCUCCUCCCUCAUCAUGAUGUCUUCUGAAUCCCUCAAGGAUCGUGAGUUCCACUUCUCCUUCAGAUCGCGAACCCUAGCCCAAUUGAUUUGUGGAUAUUUGUUUGAUAACCAACAUGAGUAAAUAUCCGGUGCAAUUUGCAAUAAAUGUAAAUUACCAAACUUACUCCUCUGUAAUAAAUAUUACAGCCUUAGCCGGUCACUUUUGACCGGUUAACUGACGAAAGUGUGCUUUCUGUUACGUUUAAUUGAAGUUUGGGGUGUACUUAGAUACCUUUUUCAAUUUGGGGUGCAAAAGUCAACACGAGUGUAAAGUUUGGGGUGCAAAUUGUCUUUUAGUUUUAAUUUUAAAACAGAGGUGAAAAGAAGACUACCAAUGAUAACCCACAUCCAUCAAUAUAGUAUAAAAGAAGAGUCUUUUUCUAAGAUGGAAGGAUUAUAAUAUUCUAUUUAGUUCCUUUAAAUUAGUAUUAGCCAGUUACUUAAGUAUCUCAGGUGCAGUGUAUAUGAAUAAGUUUGAAUCAGAGUUUAACAUAGAUAUGCAUGAUGGAAUAAUGAUUAAUUAUCAUAUUAUAUAUUCUGUAUUGUAUUGGGUUCAUGUGUACCUCAUAAUUUUGUUUGAAAAGAAUGGACAUACCUGAAAGGAUGUGGUGCACAAAAUAAGUGGUCUUUCCAUACAUGAAACGUUUACUGUAAAUGUGACUAUUAAUUGUGAUUUUCUUUGUCUACACCUAGCCUAAUGCAUCCGUCUCAGCAAUUAUUAGACCACGAGAAGGUAAUUUUUUCGUGGGCUUUAAAACGUCGUCGAACUCGACCACAAGCACAACUAUCUAAAUGCUGAAAACUUACUUUGUAGUGGGGUAAUACCCAUCACCGUACCGCAUCACGGUUACAUGCCCAACUCGACAUUCAUCUACAAAAAAUUUGAAAAAGCCACCUAGACAUCAUUUCGAACAGGGCUUGACGUCAUAUUUAUUAACCUAUCUACACUCUUAAAUUUAUCAAAUGUGGGAUUCAUGUGAAAUAUCCCAACAAUAUCCACCUUUCUCUUGAAUACCCAUCACAAGUAUCAUACUAGAGUAUUCACUAUUAAGCAUGUGAUGCCCCCAAAAUAGGUCUACACAAUCUAUUCUGAGUUGCCAAAUACAUGGUACAUCGCACCUAAACGAACACAAUGAUAAGGUAUUCAAUUCUUAAAAAAACAAAUUUAACUUAUAUUCGUUAUCUACCGGAUUUUAUUUCUUUCACACUAAAACGUUUUUUCGGCAAAGGUUAUGAAUGUUGUGCUUACCUCGUCCGUUGGACGUCCACUUAGACAUCAAUUAGAAAUUGGCUCGACGUCAAACCCACUAAACGAACACCACUACAAGAUAUUCAAAUCUAUAUAAUAAGGAAAGUUUUUUACUAUAUUCUUUUUCAGGAUUUUUUUUACUAAUACUACGAUUUUGCCCGUGCCGCUGGCAUUUACUUUUUUCUCAUGUUGUGUUAGGUAUCUUGAGUGCUAACAAUUUUGUACAUAAAUGACAGACACUUUAUUAUUAUGAAUGCUUUGUUGAUCCAUUCUUUGGUGUUUAUUAAUCUCUCUACGUGGGUGUCGGCUCUACGAUUAAUCCAUCUUUCGUGGUAGUUGUUGGUUCCGCAGUCAGUCGGUGGUCCUUACAAAAAUUUGAGAAUUUAUGUAAUCGUAUUGACUUUUAAUUAAUUUACUAUUUUAAGUAAAUUAUUAUCGUAAUUUUAGAUAUCAUUAUUUCAUGCUAAUUUUAUUCGGUGUUCUAUUUGAUAUUUUUACCCAACAUGUCAAAUAGUACUGAAGGUAUUCACUUGGAGUACCAAAAACAAAAUAUAGCUAAUUCAUCAUGCGCUAAAUUAAUUAUCCUUUUUUUUCUUUCGUUAGUUAAUUCAUAUUAAUAUUUUUUAUUUGCAUCUUUUAGUACGCUAAAUUUGGGCUACCAAUCAAUUUAAUUACUUGAAUUUUCCAAGAAUCAGAUGCUUUUAGUACGCUAGAUUUUGGCUACCAAUUAACUUAAUUAGUUGAUUUUUCUAAAACACCCUCUUCACAACGUGUGAAUACCCUUUCUACUACCCGCCCACUUUCCUCUACACAAAGUCAGAACACCCUUCACAAAUACAUUUUGAUCUCUUUCACACUAUUACAUUUUUUCUACAGAGGACACAAAUUAUGUGCUUGCAUCGUCCAUUGGAUGUCCACUAAGACAUCAAAUUGAAAUUGGGUCGACGUCAAGCGCACCUAAACCAACACCACUACAAGGUAAUCAACUAUACAAUAACAACUAUUUUACUAAUAUUCUUUCUUCACCGAAUUUGAUUCGUUUCUGUAAUAACCGUGAAUUUUAAGUCACCAUGUAUGUAUGUACAUUUUUUUUUAAACUUUGUGUUAUAUA
This 5597-nucleotide long non-coding RNA is filed under the name Panax ginseng (ginseng). RNAcentral describes it as "long non-coding RNA (PGIN_LNC018942)". The record is from RNAcentral. Lineage: Eukaryota; Viridiplantae; Streptophyta; Magnoliopsida; Apiales; Araliaceae.